ACUCAAAUGAAUUGACGGGGGCCCGCACAAGCGGCGGAGCAUGUUGCUUAAUUCGAUGCAACGCGAAGAACCUCACCUGGGUUUAACUAUGCAGGAAAAGCCACAGAGAUGUGGUGUCCUUCGGGGUCUGCAAUAGGUGGUGCAUGGCUGUCGUCAGCUCGUGUCGUGAGAUGUUGGGUUAAGUCCCGCAACGAGCGCAACCCUUAUUCUAUGUUGCCAGCGGGUAAUGCCGGGGACUCAUAGGAGACUGCCGGGGUCAACUCGGAGGAAGGUGGGGACGACGUCAAGUCAUCAUGCCCCUUAUGUCCAGGGCUGCAAACAUGCUACAAUGGCCGGUACAAUGGGCUGCGAGACCGCGAGGUUUAGCGAAUCCCUUAAAGCCGGUCUCAGUUCGGAUUGGAGUCUGCAACUCGACUCCAUGAAGCUGGAGUCGCUAGUAAUCCCGGAUCAGCAUUGCCGGGGUGAAUACGUUCCCGGGCCUUGUACACACCGCCCGU
RNAcentral lists this ribosomal RNA (497 nucleotides) under uncultured bacterium. RNAcentral describes it as "partial 16S ribosomal RNA". It matches the Rfam family "Bacterial small subunit ribosomal RNA", at positions 899 to 1397 of the family's 1533-position model. The record is from RNAcentral.